UACAUACUUUCUCCGUCCUAAAAUUCUUGUCUUAGAUUUGUCUAGAUACGAAUAUAUCUGAUACCAAGACGUGACUUGAUACAUCCAUAUUUAGACAAAUGUAAGAAAAGAAUUUUGGAACGAAGGGAGUACUAU
Triticum aestivum (bread wheat) is the source of this 135-nucleotide non-coding RNA. The record is from Rfam. NCBI's taxonomy places the organism in Eukaryota, Viridiplantae, Streptophyta, Magnoliopsida, Poales, Poaceae.